AAAAACCCCUUCCGUAGGUGGACCUGGGGAAGGAUCCAUA
This 40-nucleotide ribosomal RNA is filed under the name Pilobolus kleinii. Its description in RNAcentral is "partial 18S ribosomal RNA". The record is from RNAcentral. Lineage: Eukaryota; Fungi; Mucoromycota; Mucoromycetes; Mucorales; Pilobolaceae.